GAUGAAGAACGUAGCAAAAUGCGAUAAGUAAUGUGAAUUGCAGAAUUCAGUGAAUCAUAGAAUCUUUGAACGCACAUUGCGCCCGCCAGUAUUCUGGCGGGCAUGCCUGUUCGAGCGUCAUUUCAACCCUCAAGCACAGCUUGGUGUUGGGACUCGCGUUAAUUCGCGUUCCUCAAAUUGAUUGGCGGUCACGUCGAGCUUCCAUAGCGUAGUAGUAAAACCCUCGUUACUGGUAAUCGUCGCGGCCACGCCGUUAAACCCCAACUUCUGAAUGUUGACCUCGGAUCAGGUAGGAAUACCCGCUGAACUUAAGCAUAUCAAUAAGCGGAGGA
Molecule: unclassified non-coding RNA, 332 nt
Filed under: soil metagenome
Description: partial contains 5.8S ribosomal RNA, internal transcribed spacer 2, and large subunit ribosomal RNA
Rfam family: 5.8S ribosomal RNA (bases 1-120)
Source: RNAcentral